ACGUGAUCUGAGUUCAGACCGGAGUAAUCCAGGUCGGUUUCUAUCUAUAACAGAGCUUAUUCUAGUACGAAAGGACCGAAAAAGCAUGGCCUAUACUUAAAGCAAGCCACCACUAGAAACUUAUGCCUCCCACUCAAUUAGUUACUAGCCUUCAACCCCCCUCAAAACAAGAGA
This 174-nucleotide ribosomal RNA is filed under the name Scinax perereca. RNAcentral describes it as "partial 16S large subunit ribosomal RNA". Lineage: Eukaryota; Metazoa; Chordata; Amphibia; Anura; Hylidae. The record is from RNAcentral.